Molecule: long non-coding RNA, 1058 nt
Organism: Astatotilapia calliptera (eastern happy)
Lineage: Eukaryota; Metazoa; Chordata; Actinopteri; Cichliformes; Cichlidae
Source: Ensembl
CUGAAAUCUUUCUCUGCUUUUUGGACACAUUCAGGAUCAUCAUCAUCACUUUGGUCGUGCGGGGAAAGAGUCACCUUUCAGACCUUUCACAGUGAGCAGAGCGUCACUCCACCUUCUGCCUCUGUUCACCCCCUCGUGCAUGGAGGUGAACGCCAACAACCUUACCAACUAUGCGCUAACGGGCACAGAACCGCCUGGUGCGACACGACAGGCAGAAUAUUACAGCUGACAUGUACGACAGCGGUGCCCAGCAAAGGGAACGAAGCCUCUGUCAGCGUGUCAGUGAUGGGGGGUAAAAACGGCUGACGGUCUACAUAAUCACGCUUCAGUUCAACUCAGAAAACUUUGUGACUUGCUGGCCUGAAGUUUCCGAUAUCUGCUGCUGAUCAAUCAUCUGAAGCUCCAAAAAUGGUAUUGGUGACAUUUAGGAGACAAGCAGGAAAACAGCUGUACAAACAGCUGCCUGAUGCUUUUUAUUAUCCCAGGAUUCAGUUUUUUAAUUUCACUGCAGACUCUUCGAUGUGUUUUUUUUUUUUUUGUUUUUGCUUUUUGCUCAUGUCGUCUUCUUUUGUUUGCGUGAUGUGGACGCAGCAUUAAGUUUAGCUCCUGUAGAACAAACUCAGUGUCACCGCAGGAGGCGAUGUAGUCGUGACCUUUACUGGCUCGUCGUCGUCAGCACCAGUUUUCCAGGAUUCACUCAGACCAGCUGGGAGGACACACAUGGGUGUGAUUCCAGGAGCCUUUCUUAGAUCUAAAGUCAGAGUGUGACAGACGCCGCACUGACGUGACAUCAUCCCGGGGAUUUAGGACGCUGCAGGUUUUUGAUCUGGUCUGUCUCUGUGUUGAGCACGCUGAAGCAGGUGCAAACAGGAAGUCAGCAAACAGCAUGUGUCUGAGUAUUAUAGUCACACAGUGGGUUUCCUGCUGUUGUGCAGCCAGCAGUACGCUCUGACCGAUGAGGACUAAAUAAGGACUGAUGUGCAACGAUCGAGCUGAGCUUCAUCGUUCUGUUAAAACUGUGUCAGGUUCCCUGAGCUGCACUCUCCGCCAGGCAUCAG